Molecule: ribosomal RNA, 521 nt
Filed under: uncultured bacterium
Lineage: Bacteria
Description: bacterial SSU rRNA
Rfam family: Bacterial small subunit ribosomal RNA
Source: RNAcentral
AGAGUUUGAUCAUGGCUCAGAUUGAACGCUGGCGGAAUGCUUUACACAUGCAAGUCGAACGGCAGCACGGACUUCGGUCUGGUGGCGAGUGGCGAACGGGUGAGUAAUACAUCGGAACGUGCCCAAUCGUGGGGGAUAACGUAGCGAAAGCUACGCUAAUACCGCAUACGAUCUAAGGAUGAAAGCGGGGGAUCGCAAGACCUCGCGCGACUGGAGCGGCCGACGGCAGAUUAGGUAGUUGGUAGGGUAAAGGCCUACCAAGCCGACGAUCUGUAGCUGGUCUGAGAGGAUGAUCAGCCACACUGGGACUGAGACACGGCCCAGACUCCUACGGGAGGCAGCAGUGGGGAAUUUUGGACAAUGGACGCAAGUCUGAUCCAGCCAUUCCGCGUGCAGGAUGAAGGCCCUCGGGUUGUAAACUGCUUUUGUACAGAACGAAAAGGUCCUGGUUAAUACCUGGGGCUCAUGACGGUACUGUAAGAAUAAGCACCGGCUAACUACGUGCCAGCAGCCGCGGUAAU